UGAAAAACGACUUUUCUUGCUCAUUUUCGUCGAAAAUAUAAAACUUUGACUGAAUUUCCCACUCCACGAAACUCUCCUUAGUCCUUUUAAAGUGCAAUUUCCUUGCACGGUUGGCUUCAGGCAAGUAUGGGCAUGUUUACCUGAGUUAUCGUUCCAGUCUUAUUAGAGUUCACUGAUAGUAGUACACUCAUAGGCGUACGGGAUUCAUAUAUCUAUUAAUAAUAAUAAUAAACUUUAUUUAAAGAAGGU
This is a non-coding RNA of Paramuricea clavata, 249 nucleotides long. NCBI's taxonomy places the organism in Eukaryota, Metazoa, Cnidaria, Anthozoa, Malacalcyonacea, Plexauridae. The record is from the annotation of a GenBank genome assembly.